This 473-nucleotide ribosomal RNA is filed under the name uncultured bacterium. Its description in RNAcentral is "bacterial SSU rRNA". It matches the Rfam family "Bacterial small subunit ribosomal RNA", at positions 8 to 526 of the family's 1533-position model. The record is from RNAcentral.
AGGGUUUGAUCAUGGCUCAGAACGUACGCUGGCGGCACGCCUAACACAUGCAAGUCGAACGAAGUAGCAAUACUUAGUGGCAGACGGGUGAGUAACAUGUAGGUAUCUGCCCUUUGGCCUGGAAUAACACGAGGAAACUUGUGCUAAUACCGGAUAAGUCUUUACGGAGAAAGCUUUAUGCACCAUUGGAUGAGCCUGCACUUGAUUAGUUUGUUGGUGGGGUAAUGGCCUACCAAGACUGUGAUCAAUAGCUGAUUUGAGAGGAUGAUCAGCCACAUUGGGACUGAGACACGGCCCAAACUCCUACGGGAGGCAGCAGUGGGGAAUCUUGCACAAUGGAGGAAACUCUGAUGCAGCGAUGCCGCGUGAGUGAAGAAGGCCUUUGGGUUGUAAAGCUCUUUCGUCGGGGAAGAAAAUGACUGUACCCGAAUAAGAAGGUCCGGCUAACUUCGUGCCAGCCGCCGCGGUAAUUC